AUUGAACGCUGGCGGCAGGCCUAACACAUGCAAGUCGGACGGUAGCACAGAGGAGCUUGCUCCUCGGGUGACGAGUGGCGGACGGGUGAGUAAUGUCUGGGGAUCUGCCCGAUAGAGGGGGAUAACCACUGGAAACGGUGGCUAAUACCGCAUAACGUCGCAAGACCAAAGAGGGGGACCUUCGGGCCUCUCACUAUCGGAUGAACCCAGAUGGGAUUAGCUAGUAGGCGGGGUAACGGCCCACCUAGGCGACGAUCCCUAGCUGGGCUGGGAGGAUGACCAGCCACACUGGAACUGAGACACGGUCCAGACUCCUACGGGAGGCAGCAGUGGGGAAUAUCGCACAAUGGGCGCAAGCCUGAUGCAGCCAUGCCGCGUGUAUGAAGGAGGCCUUCGGGUUGUAAAGUACUUUCAGCGGGGAGGAAGGCGAUGUGGUUAAUAACCGCGUCGAUUGACGUUACCCGCAGAAGAAGCACCGGCUAACUCCGUGCCAGCAGCCGCAGUAA
This 506-nucleotide ribosomal RNA is filed under the name uncultured bacterium. RNAcentral describes it as "partial 16S ribosomal RNA". It matches the Rfam family "Bacterial small subunit ribosomal RNA", at positions 29 to 523 of the family's 1533-position model. The record is from RNAcentral.